GACGAACGCUGGCGGCGUGCCUAAUACAUGCAAGUAGAACGCUGAAGGAGGAGCUUGCUUCUCUGGAUGAGUUGCGAACGGGUGAGUAACGCGUAGGUAACCUGCCUGGUAGCGGGGGAUAACUAUUGGAAACGAUAGCUAAUACCGCAUAAUAGUAGAUGUUGCAUGACAUUUGCUUAAAAGGUGCAAUUGCAUCACUACCAGAUGGACCUGCGUUGUAUUAGCUAGUUGGUGGGGUAACGGCUCACCAAGGCGACGAUACAUAGCCGACCUGAGAGGGUGAUCGGCCACACUGGGACUGAGACACGGCCCAGACUCCUACGGGAGGCAGCAGUAGGGAAUCUUCGGCAAUGGACGGAAGUCUGACCGAGCAACACCGCGUGAGUGAAGAAGGGUUUCGGAUCGUAAAGCUCUGUUGUAAGAGAAGAACGAGUGUGAGAGUGGAAAGUUCACACUGUGACGGUAUCUUACCAGAAAGGGACGGCUAACUACGUG
Molecule: ribosomal RNA, 495 nt
Filed under: uncultured bacterium
Lineage: Bacteria
Description: partial 16S ribosomal RNA
Rfam family: Bacterial small subunit ribosomal RNA
Source: RNAcentral